UCUUAUCUAGAGUGGUCGAGGGACUGGCCCGAUGACGCCCGGCAACCGGCUUUUUAGCAAGGUGCCAAUUCCAGCAGGAAUUUUCCUGAACGAUGAGA
This 98-nucleotide non-coding RNA is filed under the name human gut metagenome. Its description in RNAcentral is "SAM riboswitch (S box leader)". It matches the Rfam family "SAM riboswitch aptamer (S box leader)". From Rfam's summary of the family: The SAM riboswitch is found upstream of a number of genes which code for proteins involved in methionine or cysteine biosynthesis in Gram-positive bacteria. The record is from RNAcentral.